This 371-nucleotide ribosomal RNA is filed under the name uncultured organism. Its description in RNAcentral is "partial 16S ribosomal RNA". It matches the Rfam family "Bacterial small subunit ribosomal RNA", at positions 527 to 896 of the family's 1533-position model. The record is from RNAcentral.
GUAGGGUGCAAGCGUUAAUCGGAAUUACUGGGCGUAAAGCGUGCGCAGGCGGUUUUGUAAGUCUGUCGUGAAAGCCCCGGGCUCAACCUGGGAAUUGCGAUGGAGACUGCAAGGCUUGAAUCUGGCAGAGGGGGGUAGAAUUCCACGUGUAGCAGUGAAAUGCGUAGAGAUGUGGAGGAACACCGAUGGCGAAGGCAGCCCCCUGGGUCAAGAUUGACGCUCAUGCACGAAAGCGUGGGGGGAGCAAACAGGAUUAGAUACCCUGGUAGUCCACGCCCUAAACGAUGUCUACUAGUUGUCGGGUUUUAAUUAACUUGGUAACGCAGCUAACGCGUGAAGUAGACCGCCUGGGGGAUACGGUCGCAAGAUUA